Long non-coding RNA from Mercurialis annua (annual mercury), 938 nucleotides. RefSeq lists it as uncharacterized. The transcript is spliced from 2 exons. The record is from RefSeq and is a predicted model, not a curated record. Lineage: Eukaryota; Viridiplantae; Streptophyta; Magnoliopsida; Malpighiales; Euphorbiaceae.
UCUAUCUUUUUAAUUGAACUGUAUAUUGUUAAUUUGAUAUGUAAUUUCAAUAUAAAUUAAGGACGAAUGUGUUGAGUCCAAUUUUGAAGCUGUUCUGUUAUUUUCAAACUAAUAUCAGUUAUUUAACUUAUGCAUAUCUAUUGUUUGAUAAAAUGCCACAAAGAGAUUUUUGAUCCUGUAGUGUAAUAAUUGGUGGGUUUGCUAAUGUUAUGGCUGCAGCAUAUUUUAUAGAGAGUAAAGUUGUACAAAUUGAAAAUUGCUAACCGGGUGUUUGAAGUGAAUUUGUUUCAGCUUAGGUUUCUAUUAGGCUUCAAGAACAGUAAAAAAACUCCAUUGUUUAUCAUCUUUUUUUGGUGGGAUUUUUCAAUUUGGCAGUUGCGGCAUUCUCUUUGCACCACUCCAUGUAGAUAUGAAGGUCCCAUUUGUAUUGCUAUUGUCUUUUUGCAGUUGCUGCUAUCAAAUAGUCCUUUACAAUCUUCAAGCUUUCGUUCACGGAAAUAGAAUGCAAGGAGGCAUACUUAUGUGACAGUCCUGCUUCAGCCAAUUCUCUACACACCAUGCAAGGCUGAGAAAUGAUGUUAUAAUAAGCGUGAAUUGCUCCUUCAAUAUCAAAACCAUCAAGCUUUUGGAAUUCAAGAAGCCUAUCCAGUACUUUAGAACUAUAAACUGCCUGAGCAACUAGCUAUAUGAAACUUGUUGUACUCGGACCAUCUUCUUCAUGGAUAGCUCCCUUUAAUGCAUCUUCAAAAACGUUUUCAAUUACAAUACUAGUUUUUGGGGUACCACCACCCAAACCUCCAAAUAAAAGAGAACCAUUAACGAAAAUUGUUCCGAGGGGUAGCAUAGAGAGCACUUGUUGCUUUUUGUAUUCUUCUCGAGCAUUAUUGCUUUUUGUAUUUUUUUUUUGUAAAUUUUAAAUCCUAUGAUUUAUGCUUGUU